Molecule: long non-coding RNA, 287 nt
Organism: Lingula anatina
Lineage: Eukaryota; Metazoa; Brachiopoda; Lingulata; Lingulida; Lingulidae
Source: RefSeq, a predicted model, not a curated record
CCAAGGUCAGAAGAAGAUGGAAGGAAGCAACAUGCCACGUUGCUUCAAUAUUUCUACAUGUUAGCCGAAAAUUUGCCAGUAAAAACGACAGCAAGGGAACUCGUUUCCCAAUAAAGAUGUUAGAGGCUAAUUCCCGCUGUUAAAAAUACCCAAUGCUGCUUCCGACUUAAAUGAUUUUAGGAGAACACUGCCAAGAUACUUUGCCAAGAUACUGCAAAAUGCACAUACGACUGAACGAAGCUGCCGUAGUCUUCCGUAUUUUGGAACAGGACACGGACUGGCACAUG